Molecule: long non-coding RNA, 644 nt
Organism: Pundamilia nyererei
Lineage: Eukaryota; Metazoa; Chordata; Actinopteri; Cichliformes; Cichlidae
Exons: 3
Source: RefSeq, a predicted model, not a curated record
AACUCCGCUUUUCAUAAGAUGGUGUGAGUAUCUGUAAGGGUGAAGGUGCCUAUCAUCAGCAGUCCUUUAAGGAAAGUCUACUCUACAAAGAGAGAUUAGAACCGACAGCGAGGUGACUCUGAAAGCAAAGGAUCUAAACCAUCAGCUCUCAAGUCAUUGGACUAAGCUCAACUUUUGUCAGAACAAACACUCACAAUGGGAAGAGGUGAAAGUGAAGUGUGGGAGGAAAACCCUGACGAUGUUAAGCAAACUCAACCCAAAAAACACGCACCCACAAAGAGUAAAAGCACAGAGAAAUCGGGGAGUAGCUGUCCCGCGUGCUGCUUGAAGACAAGGAACUGCCUGAUGAGCCCAGAGUGUGGCAGGGCACUUCAGAUCUCCCGUGUUGUUGCUAUGUGUGGAAUGUGUCUCCGCAUGUUUAUUAGAUGAACCUUGGACGACACGACCAACCUGGAAUAUAUUAUUAUUAUUAAAUCUCCUCCAGCACUUUGCAUGAAAAUCAUGCCAUUACUCAAAGAAGAUAAAAAUGAAGUAACAAAUGAGAAAACAUGUAAAUAAGACCAACACUAAUUAUUAGUAGUCAAUCAGUGGAAACACUGAGGUAAAGUGAAUGUUACCUUAUUAUAAAGUUAAACACUGAAGCC